This 500-nucleotide ribosomal RNA is filed under the name uncultured bacterium. RNAcentral describes it as "partial 16S ribosomal RNA". It matches the Rfam family "Bacterial small subunit ribosomal RNA", at positions 30 to 523 of the family's 1533-position model. The record is from RNAcentral.
AUUGAACGCUGGCGGAAUGCUUUACACAUGCAAGUCGGACGGCAGCACGGACUUCGGUCUGGUGGCGAGUGGCGAGCGGGUGAGUAAUGUAUCGGAACGUGCCCAGUCGUGGGGGAUAACGUAGUGAAAAUUACGCUAAUACCGCAUACGAUCUAUGGAUGAAAGCGGGGGAUCGCAAGACCUCGCGCGAUUGGAGCGGCCGAUAUCAGAUUAGGUAGUUGGUGGGGUAAAGGCCCACCAAGCCAACGAUCUGUAGCUGGUCUGAGAGGACGACCGGCCACACUGGAACGGAGACACGGUCCAGACUCCUACGGGAGGCAGCAGUGGGGAAUUUUGGACAAGGGGCGAAAGCCUGAUCCAGCCCUUCCGCGUGCAGGAUGAAGGCCCUCGGGUUGUAAACUGCUUUUGUACAGAACGAAAAGGUUUCUACUAAUACUAGGAGCUCAUGACGGUACUGUAAGAAUAAGCACCGGCUAACUACGUGCCAGCAGCCGCCGUAA